Molecule: long non-coding RNA, 1432 nt
Organism: Panonychus citri (citrus red mite)
Lineage: Eukaryota; Metazoa; Arthropoda; Arachnida; Trombidiformes; Tetranychidae
Exons: 2
Source: RefSeq, a predicted model, not a curated record
AUUAGAAAAAAAGAGAAUCAAGGAAAACAACAAAUUCUGUUCUGUUACUAAUCCUUGGUAACAGAAUAUCAAGUAACCUGAUUUUCUGCGCCACAAGUGAGCGAAUCACCAAAUUAAAAGAAAGAGAAACAGAUCAGUUUUUUUUUAUUCUUUUCUCUUUUGUUUUUACUUUUUCAUUUCAUUUUCUAUUUAAUUAAUCAAUCAUUUCCAUCAAUUAUCUUAUUAAUAUUAACCCGUUGUUAUCUUUAAUCAGUCCCAUGGGUGUGUUGUAGUUGUUGUUUGUCUAUGACAAUGAUGAACAAUUCAAAUGAAUCAACAACCUUUUCAAUUAUUUUUUGUUCGUUGCUACAAUUUGCUUAUUCUGUCAAUUCAAUUGGAUUAUUAAUGUUACUCAUCUUAUGAUCAGCCUAUUCUUUUAAAUGGAAUCAUUUACCUGGAUAACUAUUCGUUAUUUAACUGCGUAUUUUGCUAUUGUUCAUUUGAUUGUCUUUGGUCAUGAUAAUAGAAAAUAUUCCGAUCAAUAUAUUCUCAAUUCUUAUGGAUCUUCUGAAGACGUAAAGAAAAUUGUGAUGGAACAUGGAUUCAUUUACUUGGGACAAAUUUUUGAUGAUAUUCAUUCAUUUAAAGAUGGAUUAUCUUUACCCGAUAGAUGUUCAAUCAAUCCCAAUCUCACCGAUAUUUCAACUGAGAAGAUUGUAUCAUCUAUAACGCAUUUACAUGCUCUUAAACGGAGGAAGAGAAUUUGACCUCAAAAUCGAGUCGAUUAUGGAUUCGAGUCCCAUCGACUGUGUUAUAUUGGUUUUACUUUAGAUGAAAUUUUUUUUAACUCGAGUCAAUCACUUACUUUAACAAAGCCGAACCAAAACCAAUCGACAAAAGGAAAGCACUAACUCAUAGAAUCUUCUUUUCGAGAUGAGCAUUUCGAUUCAAGACAAUCAACCAAAGUGUAAAGAAUUUCCUAGCUCUCUGCAAUCAACUAUUUAGAUGAUGAAAUAAUUUUGAUUAUUCUAAAAUCACCAACAUUUACAACUCAUAAUCUAUUUGUACAUUUUGAUUGCUAAGUUUCCAUUCAAUAAUAUGAUGAAAUUCUGAUCAAAUAUUUCAGGAGAAAAAAACGAAGAACUGAGAAAAUGUAACUCGAUUGAAAAGUUAAAACAUUUCUAACGAAAAUCAUGUCACCUUUUCCCGUUAUACUUUCGUUUUUAAUAGAUCUUCAAUUCUCUGUGAGAAUACUAACAAUUUCCGGAUCCGUUAGAAUUGCUUAUUUGAGUUUUACUUUUAGAGCUCCUGAUUGUGGUAAAACAAUAAUAGCAAAGGUUGUUUCUUCUGAAUCUAAUGUACCUUUCCUUGCGAUGGUUGGAACGUAAUUCAUUGAAAUGACUGGUGGAUCGAGUUAGAGAUUUGUUUAAGGAAGCUCGAAAACGAGCACCAU